This 1249-nucleotide ribosomal RNA is filed under the name metagenome. RNAcentral describes it as "bacterial LSU rRNA". It matches the Rfam family "Bacterial large subunit ribosomal RNA", at positions 1661 to 2925 of the family's 2925-position model. The record is from RNAcentral.
AGGUGGAUGAGGAGAGAAUCCUAAGGCCGACGGGAGAAGUAUUGUUAAGGAACUCGGCAAAAUGACUCCGUAACUUCGGGAGAAGGAGUGCCAUGAGAGUGGCCGCAGAGAAAUGGCCCAAGCAACUGUUUAGCAAAAACACAGGUCUAUGCAAAACCGCAAGGUGAAGUAUAUGGGCUGACGCCUGCCCGGUGCUGGAAGGUUAAGGGGAGAGGUUAGCGCAAGCGAAGCUUUGAACUUAAGCCCCAGUAAACGGCGGCCGUAACAAUAACGGUCCUAAGGUAGCGAAAUUCCUUGUCGGGUAAGUUCCGACCCGCACGAAAGGCGUAAUGAUUUGGGCACUGUCUCAACGAUACACCCGGUGAAAUUGAAAUACCAGUGAAGAUGCUGGUUACCUGCGCCAGGACGGAAAGACCCCAUGGAGCUUUACUCCAGUUUGAUACUGGGAUUCGGCAUGGUAUGUACAGGAUAGGUGGGAGACUGAGAAGGUAUGACGUCAGUUGUACCGGAGUCGCUGUUGGGAUACCACCCUUACCAUGUUGGAUUUCUAACCUGUGGCCGUGAACCGGUCAGGGGACAAUGUCAGGCGGGGAGUUUGACUGGGGCGGUCGCCUCCGAAAGGGUAUCGGAGGCGCUCAAAGGUUCCCUCAGAAUGGUUGGAAACCAUUCGAAGAGUGCAAAGGCAGAAGGGAGCUUGACUGUGACACCGACGGGUGGAGCAGGUACGAAAGUAGGACUUAGUGAUCCGGUGGUAUAAAGUGGGAUUGCCAUCGCUCAACGGAUAAAAGCUACCCUGGGGAUAACAGGCUUAUCACUCCCAAGAGUUCACAUCGACGGAGUGGUUUGGCACCUCGAUGUCGGCUCAUCGCAUCCUGGAGCUGUAGCAGGUUCCAAGGGUUGGGCUGUUCGCCCAUUAAAGCGGUACGCGAGCUGGGUUCAGAACGUCGUGAGACAGUUCGGUCCCUAUCCGGCGCAGGCGGAGGAAAUUUGAUAGGAGCUGUCCUUAGUACGAGAGGACCGGGAUGGACGGACCGCUGGUGUAUCUGUUGUACUGCCAAGUGCAUCGCAGAGUAGCCAAGUCUGGAAGGGAUAAACGCUGAAGGCAUCUAAGCGUGAAGCCCCCCUAAAGAUAAGAUUUCCCAUACCGAAAGGUAGUAAGACCCCUUGAAGACGACGAGGUAGAUAGGGCAGAGGUGGAAGUGUGGUAACGCAUGGAGCUGACUGUUACUAAUCAGUCGAGGCUUUAACC